This is a long non-coding RNA of Nannospalax galili (Upper Galilee mountains blind mole rat), 428 nucleotides long. RefSeq lists it as uncharacterized. The transcript is spliced from 2 exons. The record is from RefSeq and is a predicted model, not a curated record. Lineage: Eukaryota; Metazoa; Chordata; Mammalia; Rodentia; Spalacidae.
GCCAGGCCCGUGGGGACUAUGUCAGUGCCAGGCCGCGGGGGUCGUGCUAGGGCAAGUCCCGCGAGGGGCGUGGCCAGGCCUGAGAAUGUGCAAAGGCAGGCUCUGGCCCGCCCCUUCAGGAGGCUUGCUACUCAUGCUCUGAGUGCUUUGCUGCGUAGGCCUUGUGGUGAAGUUGAGCCAGACGAGCCUGAGGCAGGCGCUGGAUGGAGGCAGAGGCGCGAGUGGAGAAGUUUUCCUAAGCGCUAUGACUGGACUGGGAAGAACUGGGUUUACUCGCACGAUGGUGUGUCACUGCAUGAGCUGCUGGCCAGGGAGCUGACUGAAGCCUUAAACACCAAAUUGGACUUGUCUUACUUGGCCUGUUCCGGAAACGGCACUUGACGGCCUGACCAAUUCAAAGACAUUAAAGCUGUCAGGCCAAGACCCCA